This 71-nucleotide transfer RNA is filed under the name Heteroteuthis hawaiiensis. Its description in RNAcentral is "tRNA-His". Lineage: Eukaryota; Metazoa; Mollusca; Cephalopoda; Sepiida; Sepiolidae. The record is from RNAcentral.
GUAAAAUUAGUUUAAAUAAAAUAGUAGAUUGUGGUUUUACAGAUAAUUAUAUACAUAUAUGUUAUUUUACU